UCGACUCAUUGAAAUGUAUAACACAUUCUUACUUUUUAUUGUAAUAUUUCAUCUUUUUUGUUGUACAAUUUUCGAAUAAAUCGUUUUGUGACAACAAGAAAGAUGGAUAUUACUCACACAGAAUAUGAAUGAAGAGCUGGAUUAGUAUU
This is a non-coding RNA of Caenorhabditis elegans, 149 nucleotides long. The record is from Ensembl. Lineage: Eukaryota; Metazoa; Nematoda; Chromadorea; Rhabditida; Rhabditidae.